Molecule: ribosomal RNA, 452 nt
Filed under: Maoridrilus purus
Lineage: Eukaryota; Metazoa; Annelida; Clitellata; Crassiclitellata; Acanthodrilidae
Description: partial 16S ribosomal RNA
Rfam family: Bacterial large subunit ribosomal RNA
Source: RNAcentral
CUGCCCAGUGAUUAAAUUUAAACGGCCGCGGUAUCCUAACCGUGCAAAGGUAGCAUAAUCACUUGCCUAUUAAUUGUAGGCUAGAAUGAAUGGAUAAACGUAAUAAAUACUGUCUCAAUUAUUAUUUUAUAAAUUAACGUUUACACGAAGAGUGGUAAAUGGGUUCGAAGGACAAGAAGACCCUAUAGAGCUUUAUUUUGAAUAUGAAGUCUUAUCAUAUAAAAAUUCGGUUGGGGCGACCGGGGGUCUAAUAAAACACCCCCAAUAAAAGUGAUAAGUUAAUCUUAAUAGUGACCCUAAAAAGAUCAUACGAACAAGCUACCUUAGGGAUAACAGGCUAAUCCUAUUUAAGAGUCCAUAUCUACAAUAGGGUUUGGCACCUCGAUGUUGGCUUAGGGAAUCUCCUUAGCGCAAAAGUUAAGAAAAGAUGGUUUGUUCAACCAGUAACCCCU